GGGUGAUUAUUUCUGAUGACUUAAAGGUAGGCAGACAAUGUAAUAGAGCAGCAGGAAAUGCUAGCAGAAUGCUUGGUUGUAUAGGGAGAGGUAUUAGCAGUAGAAAGAGGGAAGUGCUCAUGCCAUUGUACAGAACACUGGUGAGACCUCACUUGGAGUAUUGUACACAGUACUGGAGACCGUAUCUCCAGAAGGAUAUUGAUACCUUAGAGAGGGUUCAGAGAAGGGCUACUAAACUGGUUCAUGGAUUGCGGGAUAAAACUUACCAGGAAAGGUUAAAGGAUCUUAACAUGUAUAGCUUGGAGGAAAGACGAGACAGGG
Pelobates cultripes (western spadefoot toad) is the source of this 321-nucleotide non-coding RNA. Lineage: Eukaryota; Metazoa; Chordata; Amphibia; Anura; Pelobatidae. The record is from the annotation of a GenBank genome assembly.